Long non-coding RNA from Serinus canaria (Common canary), 350 nucleotides. RefSeq lists it as uncharacterized. The record is from RefSeq and is a predicted model, not a curated record. The transcript has 2 exons. Lineage: Eukaryota; Metazoa; Chordata; Aves; Passeriformes; Fringillidae.
GAAAGGGGGCGAGGAAAGGGCGGAACCGUGAGGGGAAAGGGGGCGAGGAAAGGGCGGGAACCGUGAGGGGAAAGGGGGCGAGGAAAGGGCGGAACCGUGAGGGGAAAGGGGGGCGAGGAAAGGGCGGAACCGUGAGGGGAAAGGGGGCGAGGAAAGGGCGGAACCGUGAGGGGAAAGGGGGCGAGGAAAGGGCGGGAACCGUGAGGGGAAAGGGGGCGAGGAAAGGGCGGGAACCGUGAGGGGAAAGGGGCGGGCUCAGGCCAAGGGCGGCAGCUCUGAGGGGACACUCUGGCAGGCGGCACUCUGCAAACAGAACUGCAACGGACUGAACAUGAACGGGAGAGAAAUCA